GACGAACGCUGGCGGCGUGCUUAACACAUGCAAGUCGAACGGAAAGGCCCUGCUCUUGUGGGGUGCUCGAGUGGCGAACGGGUGAGUAACACGUGAGUAACCUGCCCUUGACUUUGGGAUAACUUCAGGAAACUGGGGCUAAUAUCGGAUAGGAGCUCCUGCUGCAUGGUGGGGGUUGGAAAGUUUCGGCGGUUGGGGAUGGACUCGCGGCUUAUCAGCUUGUUGGUGGGGUAGUGGCUUACCAAGGCUUUGACGGGUAGCCGGCCUGAGAGGGUGACCGGCCACAUUGGGACUGAGAUACGGCCCAGACUCCUACGGGAGGCAGCAGUGGGGAAUAUUGCACAAUGGGCGGAAGCCUGAUGCAGCAACGCCGCGGGCGGGAUGACGGCCUUCGGGUUGUAAACCGCUUUCGCCUGUGACGAAGCGUGAGUGACGGUAAUGGGUAAAGAAGCACCGGCUAACUACGUG
This 468-nucleotide ribosomal RNA is filed under the name uncultured bacterium. RNAcentral describes it as "partial 16S ribosomal RNA". It matches the Rfam family "Bacterial small subunit ribosomal RNA", at positions 28 to 507 of the family's 1533-position model. The record is from RNAcentral.